Molecule: long non-coding RNA, 1386 nt
Organism: Hibiscus syriacus
Lineage: Eukaryota; Viridiplantae; Streptophyta; Magnoliopsida; Malvales; Malvaceae
Exons: 3
Source: RefSeq, a predicted model, not a curated record
CCUUCUGCACAUUUUGAUGAAAAUCAAUUUCGCGUUCAAAAGCUUGAAGAAAUCUGAAACUGCAGCAUCGAUCCUUUCUGCAACUCUGAACUCAAUCCUUAUGGCUAUGGAGGAUCAAUUCAACGACUAUCUUCAGCCACCUGAUUCUCUAUACACUGUGACCCUUCCUCGACCCAAAACCCGUCUUCUAUCCCCAGCGUAUCAUCUGCUGCCAACGAAUGGGCCACUAAAUUACCAGAUCGGGGUGUAAAUCGGCACAUGCAAGAAAGAAAUGAUGAUACUUUUAUCCUUGUAUCCCAUUCCCAUGAACUGAUUUCGGAGAAAUUUGGUUUCCCGGACUGUAAUUUGGUUAUAACAGUCUUGGUAUCGCCUUCGAGAAUGAUUCGACUAAAGCCCAUAUCCGCUGCAAAAUCCACUGCAUGCUUCGCCGCCAUUGCCUCUUUCAUGAAAGCCUAGCUUCUUUUUUGGCGAGGUCGAAUCGAGCAUCAAAAUUCACUUUAACUUCAAGAGGUGGAGGCAGUUUCCAGCGGACAAUAGUUUCCCUAUUUGUGACCAGAAGACGAGAAAUUGCUAUGGAAUAAUCCUUGCACUGAGCUCGGAUAGAGGCCCAUUUACAAAUCUCAAAGCCCAAAGAAUUACAAAGCCCAGAUAACAUAUCCAGACCCAGCUCAAGAGGACCUAAACUCGAUUAGGGUUUUCAUCAUCUUAACUUCCAGCCACCAUAGCUCACAGCCGUUGGAUCUGGCCUUGAUCCAACGACCCAUAUGGUUCCAGCAGAAAACCCUAGGGUAUCAUAACCUUAGGGACUAUGCGGCCGCUGCCUCUGAUGCCUCGGCCAAUUGUUGCCACGACGACGCCUCCAGAAGCACCACAACGCUAGGCCAGCCGUCCACGACCCAUGUCGCUGCCCUAUGGUGAGUCACUACCAUAGUUCAGUGACUCACUGCGAACCACUCUUGUUACCGGUCCGAGAGAAGAACCAUGGUGGCUUAUAAAAGCCAUCCAAUAAACAACCCACAACAACAAAUCAAAAGAAAAGAGAGAAAAACUGAGAAGAAACUUACCCUUGAAGAAGCUUAUCGUCGCCGGAAACCGUCGGAUUAUGAAGGUAAAAAUCUAGGUCUUAUUUCGACUUUAGGUUAGGAGAUCUACAUUUUGGGGGUAAUUUUGUAUUUUUCGGUCAUCGUUCACGGUGACCAGCGGUGGUCAUCGUCGCCGAAGCACGUUAGCCGGUCGGUGACCGGCUUCCCUCCGGCGAGGGAAACCUAGAGAGACGGCAGAGAAAAUUUUCAUCUCUCUUUUAGAGAGAGAAAAAAAGAAAUGAAAGGCAUAAGACCUUUUUCGGUUGGGUUAAGGGUAUUUAUAUCCCACCCCAAACGACGUCGU